This 1224-nucleotide ribosomal RNA is filed under the name metagenome. Its description in RNAcentral is "SSU rRNA". It matches the Rfam family "Eukaryotic small subunit ribosomal RNA", at positions 486 to 1765 of the family's 1831-position model. The record is from RNAcentral.
CGGGAGGUUCUACCUCUACGAGAUUGCAAUGAGAACAAUUUAAAACACUUAACGAGGAACAAUUGGAGGGCAAGUCUGGUGCCAGCAGCCGCGGUAAUUCCAGCUCCAAUAGCGUAUAUUAAAGUUGUUGCAGUUAAAAAGCUCGUAGUCGAAUUUCUGGCUGUGCGUAUUUUUGGCUUCGGUCGAUGUAUUGCAUAGUCAUCCGAAUGAAAAAAUAACUCGGCCUUCGCUGGUCGGUUAUUGGAUCAUUCACUUUACCUUGAAAAAAUUAGAGUGUUUCAGGCAGGUAAUCGCCGGAAUACAUUAGCAUGGAAUAAUGGAAUAGGACUCGUGUUCGUUGUUGGUUAUGAACAGGAGUAAUGAUUAAUAGGGACAGUUGGGGGCAUUAGUAUUUAAUUGUCAGAGGUGAAAUUCUUGGAUUUAUUAAAGACUAACUUAUGCGAAAGCAUUUGCCAAGGAUGUUUUCAUUGAUCAAGAACGAAAGAUAGGGGAUCAAAUACGAUCAGAUACCGUCGUAGUCUUAUCUAUAAACUUUUCCAACUCGGGAUCAGCAGGGUUAAUUAUUGGGCCCUGUUGGCACCGUAUGAGAAAUCAAAGUCUUUGGGUUCUGGGGGAGUAUGGUCGCAAGGCUGAAACUUAAAGGAAUUGACGGAAGGGCACCACCAGGAGUGGAGCCUGCGGCUUAAUUUGACUCAACACGGGGAAACUUACCAGGUCAAAACAUGGAUGGGAUUGACAGAUUGAAAGCUCUUUCUUGAUUCUAUGGGUGGUGGUGCAUGGCCGUUCCUAGUUGGUGGAGUGAUUUGUCUGGUUAAUUCCGAUAACGAACGAGACCUUAACCUGCUAACUAGUUUGAUUCUUUUUAGAGUUAUAACUUCUUAGAGGGACUAUGUAUUUAAAUGCAUGGAAGUUUGAGGCAAUAACAGGUCUGUGAUGCCCUUAGACGUCCUGGGCCGCACGCGCGCUACACUGACAGAUUUAACAAGUUUCUCCUGUUCCGACAGGAUACGGGAAAUCUUUUGAGGAUCUGUCGUGCUGGGGAUCGAUCUUUGUAAUUAUAGAUCUUGAACGAGGAAUUCCUUGUAAGCAUAAGUCAUCAGCUUGUGCUGAAUACGUCCCUGCCCUUUGUACACACCGCCCGUCGCUCCUACCGAUUUUGAGUGAUCCGGUGAGCUUUCUAGACUGAGUGUAGGCUUGAACUAUAUUCGGGAAGUUACGCAAACC